Long non-coding RNA from Canis lupus familiaris (dog), 1125 nucleotides. RefSeq lists it as uncharacterized. Lineage: Eukaryota; Metazoa; Chordata; Mammalia; Carnivora; Canidae. The record is from RefSeq and is a predicted model, not a curated record. The transcript has 3 exons.
UGAAGCAAGUCAUAGUAGGGAAAGGUCCAUUUGUCAAGAAACAGACAACAGGCUCUAGUCAACAGCCACAAGAAGCUUAGGCUCUCAGUCAAUAGUCUACAUGAAAUUGAACUCUGCCAACAACAACACAAUUUUGGGAACCAUCCUUCCCCAGCCAAGCACACCCAUCCAUUGGCCUCCACCUGGCAGGCUCCUGCCUGGACCUCCUCACUGAACCCCUGGAAAAAUAAGAUUCUACUUUUGCUGAAAGAUCACAGAGAGGCAGGACAUUGCCCCCCCGCUGACCAUGGAUCUCCUCUUCUGCCUGGACCCAAACUGUCCAGUACACAAGAACUUCGGUCCCAUUCCAGAGCUCAACACACAUUUGCUACACUCCUUAAGGGACAGGCUUCCUUCUUCCUUGCCAACCUCUGUGGCUAAGUUCUCAGUAAACUUUAAAGCUACACACUUUGAAUGGGAGAAGACAUUCUGCUCUGAUUCCUGGGAAAUGUGUCUCUUUCCAUGUCCAAAUGGCUGGCUUAGUGCGAGAAAAACAAACACCACUGCCUCCUCUAUGGAAAGAUGUGCCCCCUGCCCCAGGGCUUGCUCCACAUCUGCCUUCAAUCACGCCAACACUCCUUCAUCAUUAUUCUCACGGCUUACCACCCCUGCGCGGAGCUCUGAGUGGGAGUCUUCUUUGGGGCGAGUGUGCACACAUGCGUGGGAAUGUGGACACAAGCAGUACCAUACGCCACACAGCCUUCGGAAAUCUGGCUUUUCAACUCAAUAACAUUUCUGGAGAUCUUUCCAAAUCAGUGCGCAUCUCAUUUCAAAAUGAAUGUUGCGUUCGAUGGUAUAUGCAAAUCACUAUUUAUUCCCAUCAUCCUUCUGCAGAGGGUCCUUCAGUUGUCAAGGAUGUUCUAUGAUGACAGAUAAGGCUGACGUGAGCAUCCUUGGACAUAUGCUGAUUUGAGUAUUUAUCCUUAACACAACCCUAGAAAAGUUGAAUCGUUGGAUCCCAGGAGUUUGUGUAUAAAGUUUUAAUAAAUACCGGCAAGUCGUCCCCUGUGGUGGUCAUGCCAAAUCAUGUGCCCAUUUGCAACAUGAGGGAGUACCCACAUCCCCUCACCAGCUCGUACAGGUACU